UUUUACAUCAUCUAGAAGACUCCAGAAGCCACGAGACCGAAGCGGAGGCGAAACUGGGCCAGGCCCAGGGCGCCCGCCCUGGUAGCCUGGGCGCCCGCCCCCCUGCUGGAGCCAAAUCAGGACUCCUUCGUUCGGGAUAUUCCACCGACCUAUUGGAUCAAGAAAACAUAGUACCACCUCGCCUAUCGACCCAAAAACGCAUAGAAGGGGAGGACUAUAUAAGCAAGGCCCCUGGCCCCUGGAGAAGACA
RNAcentral lists this long non-coding RNA (250 nucleotides) under Sorghum bicolor (sorghum). Its description in RNAcentral is "long non-coding RNA (SBIC_LNC014390)". Lineage: Eukaryota; Viridiplantae; Streptophyta; Magnoliopsida; Poales; Poaceae. The record is from RNAcentral.